UACGGAGGGUGCAAGCGUUAUCCGGAUUUACUGGGUUUAAAGGGUGCGCAGGCGGACUGUUAAGUCAGUGGUGAAAGCCCCGGGCUCAACCUGGGAAUUGCCAUUGAUACUGGCGGUCUUGAGUACAGUAGAGGUAGGCGGAAUGCAACAUGUAGCGGUGAAAUGCUUAGAUAUGUUGCAGAACACCGAUUGCGAAGGCAGCUUGCUAUGCUGUUACUGACGCUCAGGCACGAAAGCGUGGGGAUCAAAC
This 250-nucleotide ribosomal RNA is filed under the name uncultured bacterium. RNAcentral describes it as "partial 16S ribosomal RNA". It matches the Rfam family "Bacterial small subunit ribosomal RNA", at positions 524 to 773 of the family's 1533-position model. The record is from RNAcentral.